RNAcentral lists this long non-coding RNA (476 nucleotides) under Olea europaea subsp. europaea. Lineage: Eukaryota; Viridiplantae; Streptophyta; Magnoliopsida; Lamiales; Oleaceae. The record is from RNAcentral.
CUCUUUCCCAACAAAGAAGUUCCUUCCGUUCAGAGCACUUUUUUGUGCCAGAACAUCCCACUCUUAAUGCUGUUUUCAUAUAAUGAACUCGUGAUUCUAUAUCAGUUUCACUACAUGGCAGCUUCCAUCAUCCUUGAGCAGCUUUCCAAGUAAUUAAUAUCCAAUAAAGGCUCACUACUUGUUCGGCGUAUAGAAUGGAGAGGAGUCGAAUUGCUUUGCGGAUUUGGCCUUUCCUCGUCUACUCCAUUAAUACUGCAACGAGACUUCAAAUUAUAACAUAUGAUUAUCAUCCCAUUGAUGAAUUCUCCUCGUCUACUCCAUUAAUACUGCAACGAGACUUCAAAUUAUAACAUAUGAUUAUCAUCCCAUUGAUGAAUUCUGACCAAUUAUCUAUUGGAAAAAAUGUAUUGAAGGGGUGAAUUUGAAAUAAAUUUUGAGCAGGACCCCAUUUGUUUAUUUUGGGAAAUCAAGAUUAA